RNAcentral lists this ribosomal RNA (442 nucleotides) under uncultured bacterium. RNAcentral describes it as "partial 16S ribosomal RNA". It matches the Rfam family "Bacterial small subunit ribosomal RNA", at positions 338 to 795 of the family's 1533-position model. The record is from RNAcentral.
CCUACGGGUGGCAGCAGUGGGGAAUAUUGGGCAAUGGGCGCAAGCCUGACCCAGCAACGCCGCGUGAAGGAAGAAGGCUCUCGGGUUGUAAACUUCUUUUAAUGGGGACGAACAAAUGACGGUACCCCUUGAAUAAGCUACGGCUAACUACGUGCCAGCAGCCGCGGCAAUACGAAGGUGGCAAGCGUUAUCCGGAUUUAUUGGGUGUAAAGGGCGUGUAGGCGGGAGCGCAAGUCAGAUGUGAAAACUCAGGGCUCAACCCUGAGCCUGCAUUUGAAACUGUGAUUCUUGAGUGCUGGAGAGGCAAUCGGAAUUCCGGGUGUAGCGGUGAAAUGCGUAGAUAUACGGAGGAACACCAGUGGCGAAGGCGGAUUGCUAGACAGUAACUGACGCUGAGGCGCGAAAGCGUGGGGAGCAAACAGGAUUAGAUACCCUAGUAGUC